This 460-nucleotide ribosomal RNA is filed under the name Centipeda artemidis. RNAcentral describes it as "bacterial SSU rRNA". It matches the Rfam family "Bacterial small subunit ribosomal RNA", at positions 28 to 471 of the family's 1533-position model. The record is from RNAcentral. Lineage: Bacteria; Bacillati; Bacillota; Negativicutes; Selenomonadales; Selenomonadaceae.
GACGAACGCUGGCGGCGUGCUUAACACAUGCAAGUCGAACGGAGCGAAUGAAAGCUUGCUUUUAUGAGCUUAGUGGCAAACGGGUGAGUAACACGUAGACAACCUGCCGAUCAGAUGGGGACAACAUUCCGAAAGGAAUGCUAAUACCGAAUGGCGUGUAGGGGAGGCAUCUUCCCUACAUGAAAGAUGGCCUCUAUAUAUAAGCUAUCACUGAUCGAUGGGUCUGCGUCUGAUUAGCUAGUAGGUAAGGUAACGGCUUACCUAGGCGACGAUCAGUAGCCGGUCUGAGAGGAUGAACGGCCACAUUGGGACUGAGACACGGCCCAGACUCCUACGGGAGGCAGCAGUGGGGAAUCUUCCGCAAUGGGCGCAAGCCUGACGGAGCAACGCCGCGUGAGUGAAGAAGGUCUUCGGAUCGUAAAGCUCUGUUGAAGGGGACGAACGAUCGAGGGGCGAACAG